GGGUCUGUGGCUCAGUGGAAGAACCUCUACUUGGUAUGCAAAAGGUCCCAGGUUCAAUUCCCAGCAUUUCCA
RNAcentral lists this transfer RNA (72 nucleotides) under Sphaerodactylus townsendi. RNAcentral describes it as "tRNA-Thr". The record is from RNAcentral. Lineage: Eukaryota; Metazoa; Chordata; Lepidosauria; Squamata; Sphaerodactylidae.